This 246-nucleotide ribosomal RNA is filed under the name uncultured Bacillota bacterium. Its description in RNAcentral is "uncultured Firmicutes bacterium partial 16S ribosomal RNA". It matches the Rfam family "Bacterial small subunit ribosomal RNA", at positions 796 to 1041 of the family's 1533-position model. The record is from RNAcentral. Lineage: Bacteria; Bacillati; Bacillota.
CAUGCUGUAAACGUUGGGCACUAGGUGUGGGGAUCGUUGUGGUUUCUGCGCCGUAGCUAACGCAUUAAGUAAUCCACCUGGGGAGUACGGCCGCAAGGUUAAAACUCAAAGGAAUUGACGGGGGCCCGCACAAGCAGUGGAGUAUGUGGUUUAAUUCGAAGCAACGCGAAGAACCUUACCAGGGCUUGACAUCCUCGGACGACACUAGAGAUAGUGUUUUCUCUUCGGAGACUGAGAGACAGGUGG